GAUUAACUGAAAUUAACUGUGAAGUGAUUUUAGAAAUAUAUAUGUUAUACGGCAAAUCAUAUAAAACUAAAGUUACUGAAUAUUCUUGCAUUUUUUCCGACUUUAUCUACAAUCCUGGUGCACUUGUCUCACAACCAAAUACAAAUAUAGUUUUAGUACAAUAUUAUAUUGGUCAGUGAUUUUUUAGUACCUGCACUCUCUCUGUGUUGUCUUACACUCUGCAUGGUUAUGCAAUUGAUCUGUGACCAAAUCUGCAGGAAAUUAUAGCAGUGAUAUUUCUAUUAAUACAAUAUCAUUUUAUCCUAUUAUCCUGUUAUCUUCCUUCUCUGGCUAAACUUUGACAUUUUCAUGCAACAGACUUUAGCAUUCAGACAAGAUUUCCCCAUGUUUCUCAAAAUACACAGCCCGUGUUGAAAUACACUGUGAGCAGGGCCACUUUAAGUUAGAUGUCUCAUUAAUUACCCGCUUUAUUCUCAGGUUACCCCCUCCCCCCCACACACACAUAAAAAAAACAAACAAAAAAAACACCCAGCACGCCCCUGCGGGCGGUUUAUCCUUCAAGCUCGGGUCCUCUACCAGAGGCCUGGGAGCUUGAGGGUCCUGCGCAGUAUCUUAGCUGUUCCCAGGACUGUGCUCUUCUGGACAGAGAUCUCCGAUGUUAUUCCCGGGAUCUGCUGGAGCCACUCGCCUAGCUUGGGAGUCACUGCACCUAGUGCUCCGAUUACCAGGGGGACCACCGUUACCUUCACCCUCCACAUCCUCUCGAGCUCUUCUCUGAGCCCUUGGUAUUUCUCCAGCUUCUCGUGUUCCUUCUUCCUGAUAUUGCUGUCAUUCGGAACCGCUACAUCGAUCACUACGGCCGUCUUCUUCUGUUUGUCUACCACCACUAUGUCCGGUUGGUUAGCCACCACCAUUUUGUCCGUCUGUAUCUGGAAGUCCCACAGGAUCUUAGCUCGGUCAUUCUCCACCACCCUUGGGGGCAUCUCCCAUUUUGACCUCGGGACUUCCAGGUUAUACUCGGCACAGAUGUUCCUGUACACUAUGCCGGCCACUUGGUUAUGGCGUUCCAUGUAUGCCUUGCCUGCUAGCAUCUUGCACCCUGCUGUUAUGUGCUGGAUUGUCUCUGGGGCAUCUUUACACAGCCUGCACCUGGGGUCUUGCCUGGUGUGAUAGACCCCAGCCUCUA
Molecule: long non-coding RNA, 1186 nt
Organism: Astatotilapia calliptera (eastern happy)
Lineage: Eukaryota; Metazoa; Chordata; Actinopteri; Cichliformes; Cichlidae
Source: Ensembl